RNAcentral lists this ribosomal RNA (372 nucleotides) under uncultured organism. RNAcentral describes it as "partial 16S ribosomal RNA". It matches the Rfam family "Bacterial small subunit ribosomal RNA", at positions 527 to 896 of the family's 1533-position model. The record is from RNAcentral.
GGAGACUGCGAGCGUUACUCGGAUUCACUGGGCGUAAAGGGUGCGCAGGCGGCCAAAUGUGUCAGGGUGUGAAAGCCCGGGGCUCAACUCCGGAAUUGCGCCUGAAACUGUUUGGCUAGAGUCUCGGAGAGGUAAGCGGAAUUCCUAGUGUAGCGGUGAAAUGCGUAGAUAUUAGGAGGAACACCAAAGGCGAAGGCAGCUUACUGGACGAGAACUGACGCUGAGGCACGAAAGCGUGGGGAGCGAAAGGGAUUAGAUACCCCUGUAGUCCACGCCGUAAACGUUGUACACUAGGUUUUGGGCGAUUCGACCCGCUCAGGGCUCAAGCUAACGUGAUAAGUGUACCGCCUGAGGACUACGACCGCAAGGUUA